AGUAGUAGUUAUGAGGAAAGUCCAGGCUCCUCUGGAAAAAAUGCUGGGUAAUAACCAGGCAGAUUGUGGUAGCUGUAGUAAAAAUACAAAGCCCACAAACUGACAGAUAGUGCAACAGAAAAUAAACCGCAUAUUUAAUAUGUAAGGGUGAAAUGGUGGGGUAAGAGCCUACCGCAUAAAUGGUGACAUUUAUGGCUGUGUAAACCUCAUUUGGAGCAAGAUUGAGCAGAAGUUUAGGUUUCCAGCUAAUGACUUCGGGUAAAUCGCUAAAGCUAGAAGGUGACUUUUAGUUUAGAUAGAUGGUUAUUGUAUCUCUGAUACAAACAGAACCUGGCUUACUAUCCCGUCU
This 349-nucleotide RNase P RNA is filed under the name uncultured Treponema sp. RNAcentral's name for it is "Bacterial RNase P class A". It matches the Rfam family "Bacterial RNase P class A". From Rfam's summary of the family: Ribonuclease P (RNase P) is a ubiquitous endoribonuclease, found in archaea, bacteria and eukarya as well as chloroplasts and mitochondria. Its best characterised activity is the generation of mature 5'-ends of tRNAs by cleaving the 5'-leader elements of precursor-tRNAs. The record is from RNAcentral. Lineage: Bacteria; Pseudomonadati; Spirochaetota; Spirochaetia; Treponematales; Treponemataceae.